GAACCCUUGGCACAGUGGUAGCGCGUGAGAUUCCAGAUUUGGAAGUCCUCAAGGUCGUCCGUUCAAUCCGGGCAGGGUUCA
RNAcentral lists this transfer RNA (81 nucleotides) under Dichomitus squalens LYAD-421 SS1. It matches the Rfam family "tRNA". From Rfam's summary of the family: Transfer RNA (tRNA) molecules are approximately 80 nucleotides in length. Their secondary structure includes four short double-helical elements and three loops (D, anti-codon, and T loops). Lineage: Eukaryota; Fungi; Basidiomycota; Agaricomycetes; Polyporales; Polyporaceae. The record is from Rfam by way of RNAcentral.